This 90-nucleotide transfer RNA is filed under the name Cercophora newfieldiana. It matches the Rfam family "tRNA". From Rfam's summary of the family: Transfer RNA (tRNA) molecules are approximately 80 nucleotides in length. Their secondary structure includes four short double-helical elements and three loops (D, anti-codon, and T loops). Lineage: Eukaryota; Fungi; Ascomycota; Sordariomycetes; Sordariales; Lasiosphaeriaceae. The record is from Rfam by way of RNAcentral.
GGUUGUGUAGUGUAGCGGUUAUCACUCCGGAUUCUGACAAGCCAUUGUUUGAACAUUCCGGCAACCCCGGUUCGAUUCCGGGCACGACCU